CGAGACUAUGAUUUUCCUUGUUUUAAUAUAUGUGAAUUUCCAUAAUAAGAUGUCAAAUAAUUUAAUAUCAGUCUUUUUCUUGUUUUAAAAUAUUAAGUAAGUUUAAACAUUUAAUUAACAUCUGAGGGUUUGGAUUUUAAGAUCUGAGGUACGGGUAUGGAUUUUACGAUCUGAGGUACGGGUAUAAAUAGGGAUCUAGAUAUCAUCGAGACGGAGAGGAUAUCUGGAAGGUCUGUGGGGAUCAUGAAUGGAGGAUUUAUGAGAGCACAUUGAAGUACCAUCACUCUCAUCGGAGGCGUUAUGGGGGAUGAGUUGGGGGAGGGGAAGAGAAUCGCGAAACAGAGCGAGACGCCGCUUAGGAUUAGGGAUGAUGAUUUUAGAGGAAGGGGCGAUAUAAUCCGAACCGUAAGAGCGUCUUUGGAUUUGUCUGGGAGUUGGGCUUAAUGGGCUGUGACACAAAAUACAUAUGAAGAGAGGCAGAGAGAUGAGGCUAUGGACUGGGCCGUGAUGAUUUCGUUUUUUUUUUUUAAUUUCAAACCCACUUCGUUAUGACCUGGCAUAUUGGUUGGUCCUGAUUAUUUUGUCCAUGUGGAUAGCCUUAGGAAGCUAGAAUUUAGCUGCUUUUAUAUAGUGGGAUAAAUAAUUAUUUAAAUAAAUAAUUUUUUUUCUUAUGUUUUCGAAUUAUACUCUUUCAAAUUCGAUCUUUUUUAUAAAUUAUUUUUGAAUUUUUUUUUUCAAAAUUUCCUUUUGAAAAUCGAAAAUUAGUUUUGAAACUAUUUUUAUACUUUUAUGAAUUUAUUUAUAUAUUUAUUAGAAUAUUAAAUUUCAUUCUAAAAACCCCACCCCUAAUUCUAAACUCUAAGUUUAGAUUCGUUAAAUCUAGGGUUAUAAAUAACAUUUAUCCUUCAUUAAAAGUGAGUGUAAAAAUGGUUAGAGUAAACAUGAAAAAUGAUAAUAUGAAUGUGAUAUUUUUUGGCAAUUUCCCAUGAAAACAGACUUUUUGUCCCUUUAAUAUAUUUUUUUUUGUCCUAUAUUUGAUCUAUCAAACUUAAUGAAAUAAUUUUAAUUUUAUUAAUAUAAAAAUUUAUUAAAAAAUAGAAACAAUUGAUGAAAA
RNAcentral lists this long non-coding RNA (1114 nucleotides) under Brassica rapa (field mustard). RNAcentral's name for it is "long non-coding RNA (BRAP_LNC006698)". The record is from RNAcentral. Lineage: Eukaryota; Viridiplantae; Streptophyta; Magnoliopsida; Brassicales; Brassicaceae.